UCUUGAAACUUGCCUAUAAGA
This 21-nucleotide non-coding RNA is filed under the name Caenorhabditis elegans. Lineage: Eukaryota; Metazoa; Nematoda; Chromadorea; Rhabditida; Rhabditidae. The record is from RNAcentral.